AUUGAACGCUGGCGGCAGGCCUAACACAUGCAAGUCGAGCGGCAGCGGGAAGUAGCUUGCUACUUUGCCGGCGAGCGGCGGACGGGUGAGUAAUGUCUGGGAAACUGCCUGAUGGAGGGGGAUAACUACUGGAAACGGUAGCUAAUACCGCAUAACGUCGCAAGACCAAAGAGGGGGACCUUCGGGCCUCUUGCCAUCAGAUGUGCCCAGAUGGGAUUAGCUAGUAGGUGGGGUAACGGCUCACCUAGGCGACGAUCCCUAGCUGGUCUGAGAGGAUGACCAGCCAAGCUGGAACUGAGACACGGUCCAGACUCCUACGGGAGGCAGCAGUGGGGAAUAUUGCACAAUGGGCGCAAGCCUGAUGCAGCCAUGCCGCGUGUAUGAAGAAGGCCUUCGGGUUGUAAAGUACUUUCAGCGGGGAGGAAAGUGUUGAGGUUAAUAACCUCAGCAAUUGACGUUACCCGCAGAAGAAGCACCGGCUAACUCCGUGCCAGCCGCCGCGGUAA
This 506-nucleotide ribosomal RNA is filed under the name uncultured bacterium. Its description in RNAcentral is "partial 16S ribosomal RNA". It matches the Rfam family "Bacterial small subunit ribosomal RNA", at positions 30 to 523 of the family's 1533-position model. The record is from RNAcentral.